This 942-nucleotide ribosomal RNA is filed under the name Triticum aestivum (bread wheat). RNAcentral's name for it is "partial small subunit ribosomal RNA". The record is from RNAcentral. Lineage: Eukaryota; Viridiplantae; Streptophyta; Magnoliopsida; Poales; Poaceae.
AUGGCCGAGACGGAGACGCCAAGAAUCGCUGGGUGCUUCGGCCGGUGGAAGAAAGAGGGGACCGACGAGGCCGUGGCGGCGGUCAUGGCGCUCGUCGAUGCCGUCCGGUCCAGCAAGGCCGACACCAUGUCGCGGCUCCAAGCCGAGAUCAAGGCGGCCGCGGAGGAGCUCAAGUGCCUGGAUAGCGAGCCGUACGGCGCGCUCUCGGCGGCCUGCGACAUGUUCGUCCGGUACGUGCGGCGCGGCGGUGCCGUUGCCGUCGCCGAUGAUCAGCCCGCCCAGUUCCCCGCCCUCAAACGCCGCUUGGUCAGCCGCGCCACCAGGUUCGGGGACAUCUGCCGAGGCGCGCGCGGGACCAUCGCGACGCUCUGCCAGGACUUCUUGCUGGACGGCUGCACCGUGCUGGUGCACGGCCACUCGCCGCCCGUGCUCGACGCUCUCCGGCUGGCCGGCACCAGCGGCAAGCGCCUCCUAGUCCUAUGCACCGAGGGUAGGCCGGACGGCGCGGGGCUGAGGCUGGCCGGGGAGCUCGCGGCGGCCGGGGUGCCGGCGAGGGUCCUGCUCGACUCGGCGGUGGCCUACUCGAUGGCCCAGGUUGACGUGGUGCUGGUAGGAGCCGACUUGGUCACCGAGACCGGCGGCGUGGUCGGCGCCGUUGGCACGUACCAGGUCGCCCUGGUGGCUCGCGCCAUGGGCAAGCCUGUCUAUGUGGCAGCAGAGAGCUACAAGUUCGCGAGGCUGUAUCCUCUGGGACAGAAAGACAUCGAGCAGGGCGGUGGCCGAGACGUGGGCUUCGGCGACGUGCCUGUGCCGGCCGGCGUGGACGUCGAGGCGCCGGCGAGGGACUACACCCAGUCCAAGUACCUGGAGCUUCUGAUCACAGACCUCGGCGUGCUCCAGCCGGCGGCCGUUGGAGACGUGCUCCUCCAGCUCUCCAUGUGA